Molecule: long non-coding RNA, 1522 nt
Filed under: Phoenix dactylifera (date palm)
Lineage: Eukaryota; Viridiplantae; Streptophyta; Magnoliopsida; Arecales; Arecaceae
Description: long non-coding RNA (PDAC_LNC013846)
Source: RNAcentral
UUGUCCUUUGGACUUGUCGAGUCUAGCUUUUAGCCUUAAAGGAUAGUCUGAUUUGUCACCUCCGUCUCUCCGUUGGUCUAGGGAUGGGCGACCGAGGUGAAGCGAUGGUCGAUGCCGAGCUCAGAGUAGAAUUUUCUGAAGCGGGCGUUAUCAAACUGUCGUCCAUUGUCGGAUAUGAGGACGCGGGGGAGCCCAAACCUGCAGAUUAUCGAUUUCUAGACAAAGUCUCGCAUCUUUGGUUCGGUGAUUUGGACCACUGGUUGUUAGAAGUAUGCCCUAGAAGCCAACGUGGCUGACGCAUAUUUGUAAUCUGGGGCAUAAAUUUGUAAUUUGACACUUAUUAAUAAAUAAAAUUGGGCAAUUUAUUUUUCAUUCAUAUUUGUAUGUGUCCAUGAAUCGUCCAAGAAAUUAAUAAAUGAUGACAUAUAAUUUUAAGGAGUUGAGACUUUGAUGCAUGUGUCAUUAGGAAUUAAUUUCUAAAUGCUCCUGAUCGAUGAAUCCAUCACGAGGGACGGUGAUCGAUCCGCUGAGAUUAGUGCACAGAUCACUUAGUCAGAUGGACGAGUCUUGAGUCCACGGUGUAGAGACACUGGAGUGAUUAUGCAAGUACUCGUUAGAGAACAAGGUACUGAGCGUGACCAAAGAUAGUAAUCACAUGGAUGUCUAUCCACUCGUCAGUGACUACUUAUGCUGCAGUUGUAUGACUGGUCCUUUAGACUUGUGAUGCCUCAGCUAUUCACUGUGAGGUUGCUGUAAUUUGACAAGCAUGUGAACUUGAGCCCUAGUCAUUCGGGUCUUUGUAGUGCGAAUUGGCUGCAGUAGGUUCAUUUUAGAAUAGGGUUGCAUCUAGAUGGGAUCUAUCGACCUUGAUAGAUUAGGAGUGAUCCUAUGUGAUUUAUGAGACUGAGUUCGAUAAAUUUCUGGCCAAGUAUUUUGGAAAAGAAGUUUUCCAUAUCUCGAACUGGAAGUCGUAUAAAUUUGAUAUAUGACAGACGAUGGAGUUUGACGAGAUAUCCAUAACCUCCGUCACGUCGGGAUCCAUAAUAGAGGGACUGUAUCAUACGUUAACUGCACCAAGAGGUUCAGAUAUUCCAUUCUGUUGGGUUGCCACCACAUACUGCUAGGUGUCACUAGUGGAUUGUGAGACUCGAAGGCAUUCACUUGGUGAUCAGUGAAUCCUAAGAGUAGAACUGAAAUCAUUUCAGUCCACUGAAAGAAGUUUCAGUGAUAUUGAGAUGGAGAUCUCAAUAUUUCUCACUACCAGUCAGAAUAGAACCUACGAGGUCACGCACAUAGAGGAUUUAAUUAGUCAGACUAUCAUAAUUAUGAUUUGGAAUCAUAAUAGACAUCAAUCAUCAAUAUGAUUGGUGAUUGAAUUAACCCACUAAGUGUUAGUGAGUUAAUGGAAGAAAAAUUAAGUGAAAUUGAUUGCAAUUGGAUUGCAAUUGGGCUGAUUUAAUGAGCCAAAUCAAAUUGGGUUCGACCCAAAUUGAUUUGGGUUCAUGAUUGGGUCAAUUUGAUU